RNAcentral lists this ribosomal RNA (881 nucleotides) under uncultured archaeon. RNAcentral describes it as "bacterial SSU rRNA". It matches the Rfam family "Archaeal small subunit ribosomal RNA", at positions 125 to 996 of the family's 1478-position model. The record is from RNAcentral.
CAUAACCCCGGGAACCUGGGUAUAAUACCCGAUAGGUCUCGAUUGCUGGAAUGCAUCGAGAUUUAAAGCUCCGGCGCCUAAGGAUGGGUCUGCGGCCUAUCAGGUAGUAGUGGGUGUAGCGUACCUACUAGCCUACGACGGGUACGGGUUGUGAGAGCAAGAGCCCGGAGAUGGAUUCUGAGACACGAAUCCAGGCCCUACGGGGUGCAGCAGGCGCGAAAACUUUACAAUGCUGGCAACAGCGAUAAGGGAACCUCGAGUGCCAGGUUACAAAUCUGGCUGUCGAGAUGCCUAAAAAGCAUUUCAUAGCAAGGGCCGGGCAAGACCGGUGCCAGCCGCCGCGGUAACACCGGCGGCUCGAGUGGUAACCGUUAUUAUUGGGUCUAAAGGGUCUGUAGCCGGCCGGAUAAGUCUCUUGAGAAAUCUGGCAGCUUAACUGUCAGGCUUUCAGGAGAUACUGUCUGGCUCGAGGCCGGGAGAGGUGAGAGGUACUUCAGGGGUAGGGGUGAAAUCUUGUAAUCCUUGAAGGACCACCAGUGGCGAAGGCGUCUCACCAGAACGGACCUGACGGCAAGGGACGAAAGCUAGGGGCACGAACCGGAUUAGAUACCCGGGUAGUCCUAGCCGUAAACGAUACUCGCUAGGUGUCGGCCACGGUGCGACCGUUGUCGGUGCCGUACGGAAGCCGUGAAGCGAGCCACCUGGGAAGUACGGCCGCAAGGCUGAAACUUAAAGGAAUUGGGCGGGGGAGCACAACAACGGGUGGAGCUUGCGGUUUAAUUUGGAAUUCAACGCCGGAAAUCUUACCGGGGACCGGACAGCCAUAUGAAAGGCCAGGCUGAAGACCUUUGCCUGGAUUAGCCUGAGAAGGUGGAUGCAUG